GGGGAUGUAAAGGUUUCGACAGGUUUCAGUUUGAUUCAGGCUGCAGUGGAGUUGUGACCAUAUCACAGACAAAUUUAAACGCAACAAAUACCAACAGAAGCGCAAGCUUCGCAUUCGCUGCCUAAGGGACUCGAGGUCCUGCAGUGAACCCGGUCUGUAUAUUCUCCGUUUGAUACAGGCUGCGUAGGUAAACGGAUAAGGUGAACCCGAUUCCUGUAGGCGGAACCCGAAAAGAAUACAGGAAAAUUCAGCAGAUUGUUCGCUCAUUGUCGUGUCUGCUGUCUUAUCAGACAGUGAGAUAAACUGUAGACGCCUGAAUGUGGGGCUACUCUUGGACAGGGGUUCGACUCCCCUCAUCUCCAUCA
RNAcentral lists this transfer-messenger RNA (365 nucleotides) under Solobacterium sp. It matches the Rfam family "transfer-messenger RNA". From Rfam's summary of the family: Bacterial tmRNA, also known as 10Sa RNA or SsrA, is named for its dual tRNA and mRNA-like properties. Its role is to liberate the mRNA from a stalled ribosome. The record is from RNAcentral. Lineage: Bacteria; Bacillati; Bacillota; Erysipelotrichia; Erysipelotrichales; Erysipelotrichaceae.